GAGAAUAUACUUUAAUUAAGAAGACCUAAGUUGCAUUUAGGAAGUGUUAUUUACUAUUUUCA
RNAcentral lists this transfer RNA (62 nucleotides) under Cochlostyla marinduquensis. RNAcentral's name for it is "tRNA-Ala". The record is from RNAcentral. Lineage: Eukaryota; Metazoa; Mollusca; Gastropoda; Stylommatophora; Camaenidae.